RNAcentral lists this unclassified non-coding RNA (475 nucleotides) under Mycobacterium sp. THO100. RNAcentral describes it as "partial 16S-23S intergenic spacer". The record is from RNAcentral. Lineage: Bacteria; Bacillati; Actinomycetota; Actinomycetes; Mycobacteriales; Mycobacteriaceae.
AAGGAGCACCACGAAACCCUGGCCGGUCCACAUUGUGUGGGGUGCCGCGACCGUGGGUGAAUCUGUGGAUGGCCGUCGCCUGUAGUGGGUGAUGGUCUGGUGCAUAACGUUGUAAAACAAACUCAAAAACCGUGUCCUGGUUGGUCUUUCGAGGCUGGGUGGGAUGUUCGGGGUCAUCAAGCACACUGUUGGGCUUUGAGGCAGCAGCCUUGCGGCGCCAUCCCCCUUUGUGUGGGGGUGUUGCGCCGGCCCGCAUCGCGAUGGGUGUCUGGUCCUGUUUGGGGUCAGGUGGUUGUCGGUGGUGGUGGGUGUUGUUGUCGCUCCAUCUUGGUGGUGGGGUGUGGUGUUUGAUUUGUGGAUAGUGGUUGCGAGCAUCUAGCGCCAAGAGUUGGCUCGGGCCUUUCGGGGUUACGGGUGAUUUUUGUGUGUAUCUGAUGUGCAAUUUUUGCUCAUUUUUGGUUUUUGUAAGUGUUAA